GCCGGGGAGCUCAGGCAGUAGAGCAUCAGACUUUUAAUCUGAGGGUCCGGGGUUGAUGUCCCCUUCAGGGCG
This is a non-coding RNA of Crenichthys baileyi (White River springfish), 72 nucleotides long. Lineage: Eukaryota; Metazoa; Chordata; Actinopteri; Cyprinodontiformes; Goodeidae. The record is from the annotation of a GenBank genome assembly.